UACGUAGGGUGCGAGCGUUGUCCGGAUUUAUUGGGCGUAAAGAGCUCGUAGGCGGCUUGUCGCGUCGAAUGUGAAAACUCGGGGCUUAACUCCGGGCCUGCAGUGGGUACGGGCAGACUAGAGUGCGGUAGGGGAGACUGGAAUUCCGUGGUGUAGCGGUGAAAUGCGCAGAUAUCUGGAGGAACACCGGUGGCGAAGGCAAUCCCCUGGACCUGUACUGACGCUCAUGCACGAAAGCGUGGGGAGCAAACAGG
This 254-nucleotide ribosomal RNA is filed under the name uncultured bacterium. RNAcentral describes it as "partial 16S ribosomal RNA". It matches the Rfam family "Bacterial small subunit ribosomal RNA", at positions 524 to 776 of the family's 1533-position model. The record is from RNAcentral.